CCCUUAGACGUUCUGGGCCGCACGCGCGCUACACUGAUGCAUUCAACGAGUCUAAAACCUGCUCUGAUAGGGGUGGGUAAUCUUUUGAAUGUGCAUCGUGAUUGGGAUAGAUGAUUGCAAUUUUUCAUCUUCAACGAGGAAUGCCUAGUAAACGCAAGUCAUCAGCUUGCAUUGAUUACGUCCCUGCCCUUUGUACACACCGCCCGUCGCUCCUACCGAUUGAAUGAUCCGAUGAAUAUCAUGGAUUGAGGAUGUAAGCAGGUUCGCCUGUCUUCAUCUUCGAGAAGUGAAGUAAAUCUUAUCAUUUAGAGGAAGGAGAAGUCGUAACA
Molecule: ribosomal RNA, 329 nt
Filed under: uncultured eukaryote
Lineage: Eukaryota
Description: partial 18S ribosomal RNA
Rfam family: Eukaryotic small subunit ribosomal RNA
Source: RNAcentral